UACGAAGGGUGCAAGCGUUGUCCGGAAUUAUUGGGCGUAAAGAGCUCGUAGGCGGUCUGUCGCGUCGGCUGUGAAAACCCGGGGCUCAACCCCGGGCCUGCAGUCGAUACGGGCAGGCUAGAGUCCGGUAGGGGAGACUGGAAUUCCUGGUGUAGCGGUGAAAUGCGCAGAUAUCAGGAGGAACACCGGUGGCGAAGGCGGGUCUCUGGGCCGGAACUGACGCUAAGGAGCGAAAGCGAGGGGAGCGAACAGG
RNAcentral lists this ribosomal RNA (253 nucleotides) under uncultured bacterium. RNAcentral describes it as "partial 16S ribosomal RNA". It matches the Rfam family "Bacterial small subunit ribosomal RNA", at positions 524 to 776 of the family's 1533-position model. The record is from RNAcentral.